Phycodurus eques (leafy seadragon) is the source of this 1661-nucleotide long non-coding RNA. RefSeq lists it as uncharacterized. The transcript is spliced from 3 exons. The record is from RefSeq and is a predicted model, not a curated record. NCBI's taxonomy places the organism in Eukaryota, Metazoa, Chordata, Actinopteri, Syngnathiformes, Syngnathidae.
GGGAGUGGGCAGUUGCAAGUGACAAAGUCAGUUAGGGAGUGACUUACAAGAGGAAAGAAAAUAGAGAAGAAAAAAAACAAUACGUGGGGGAAGGGUACUUUUGCUGCUUGCUAAAAAGGCACUGUUGCCUCAGUUGCUAGGAACUGUUUGUUUUAGAUGGAGAAAGCAGGAAAUCGAAGGAGAGAAGUCAGUUAAUGAUUAUCGACAACAACUGGCUUUUUCCUCUCCGCACAAGUUAUUAGCCAGAGUGACCCUGGCCCUGCCGACACACAGAGAAGUUGGAUCUUGUACUUGAAAGUCCUCUAUACGGACCUGUGUGGAGGACAAAGCAGCCAGCCAACCACUGCUGCGAGCAUCGGGACAAUGAAAGAAGGAGGCUGUUGAGAGUCUCUGCAGCUUCACUCAUUGGGGAAUUUCAUGUGACUAAACUUAGUGAUGGCAAAAGCAACAGGAUGCAUAUAUGCGAAAAAAACAAAAAACAAAUAGCCAAUAGCAGAGCGGAUGCUGUGAGUACAGCUAACUUACAAUCUGCAAGGAAUCCACUGUAGGACAGGGCUGCCACUUAAAAAGGUGAGUAGGGCGAAGACGUAAGGGCCAACAGUGCACUCUGGUGGAAUGGGCCAGGAGAUCAAUAUUUGGAGCAUAAUUGAGCCACUGAAAACUAGAGUGGGCUAACUUCAUUUUUGUCAUAUUGCAGGAGGGUGAUUGAAAGUUUUAGAGUUGCCACUGAAAGGUUACUGCGAGAGUGGUCUUGGAACGAGCAUCCGUCAAAUCGAUCAAUAGUUCAUGAAAGACGGCUAAUUACACUCACUUACGUAUACAAGAUGCACAUUAUACAUAGGUAUGAAGAAAAUGUAAUGUUCCCUUUGUAUAAAUGGACACCGGGAGCCAGGGUUUGUGAAAGAGGUGUACUUUCAUUCCAAUAUGAUAUGUAAUCUCUAAUAUUACAAAUGUAAAAUUUGCUACAUUUUCUCUGCUCUCUCGAGAAUCAUGGCGUCCUUGUGGGCGCUGCCAUAUCGAUAUCAUAUAUCUCUCAGGAUGGACUGCCGGGUCAAGGACUGAGUUUUACAUUGUCGCCAUGUCACACACCAACUACAUUUGUCCUAUAUAUUUAGUACAUUACAGCUUACUUUCCACCACAACGCGGUCUCCAGUUAGAUACCUUUAAGACAUUUCACUCUGAACUCCUUCCUUCUUGGAUCGCUACUCUGCGUUGCUACAGAAGAUAGCUAGUGUCUGCCACUCGCUCCUGCGGCUAGCUGAUCUAGCUGCUAACUGCCUGCUAGCAGCUUUAGACUUGCAGAAAAACAACAGUCGAUAAGAAAACAACACCCGCUGGACUAUGCACCAAGUAUGAACCAACAACUUGAUUUAUCCAAUGCUGCGGACUCCGAGGGAAGCACUCGACUACUUUGUACCUGUCCAAUCAUUUCAGGACACAGCCGACAUGGCACCCAGUCGCAACAUACCCGGGGGACUUAAACUAUAACACUCCGGUUUAAAGUCCAGAGCCCUUACAGGCGGAGCGGUCGUCUCCUCCACCUCACUGGUCAUCGAGCGGGUGAUUCGGCCCUUACGGCGUCCUUGGCUGUUGGCUGUUCGUCGGCCCUUGACGGCCACCGUAGGCUCUUUGUCCUCUGCAUCUUCCCCAGAAGUUUCAU